Molecule: ribosomal RNA, 519 nt
Filed under: uncultured Glomeromycotina
Lineage: Eukaryota; Fungi; Glomeromycota
Description: SSU rRNA
Rfam family: Eukaryotic small subunit ribosomal RNA
Source: RNAcentral
AGCAGCCGCGGUAAUUCCAGCUCCAAUAGCGUAUAUUAAAGUUGUUGCAGUUAAAAAGCUCGUAGUUGAAUUUCGGGAUUAGUGCGCUGGUCAUGCCUUUGGUAUGUACUGGUGUUACUGGUUCCUACCUUCUGAAGAACCGUUAUGUCAUUCAUUUGGUGUGGCGGGGAAUCAGGACUGUUACUUUGAAAAAAUUAGAGUGUUUAAAGCAGGCUCGCGCUUGAAUACAUUAGCAUGGAAUAAUGAAAUAGGACGUUUGACCCUAUUUUGUUGGUUUCUAGGAUCGACGUAAUGAUUAAUAGGGAUAGUUGGGGGCAUUAGUAUUCAAUUGUCAGAGGUGAAAUUCUUGGAUUUAUUGAAGACUAACUACUGCGAAAGCAUUUGCCAAGGAUGUUUUCAUUAAUCAAGAACGAAAGUUAGGGGAUCGAAGACGAUCAGAUACCGUCGUAGUCUUAACCAUAAACUAUGCCGACUAGGGAUCGGAUGAUGUUAUUUUAAUGACUCAUUCGGCGCCUUAAC